GACGAACGCUGGCGGCGUGCCUAAUACAUGCAAGUCGAACGCUGAAGAGAGGAGCUUGCUCUUCUUGGAUGAGUUGCGAACGGGUGAGUAACGCGUAGGUAACCUGCCUGGUAGCGGGGGAUAACUAUUGGAAACGAUAGCUAAUACCGCAUAAAAUGGAUUAUCGCAUGAUAAUCCAUUGAAAGGUGCAAAUGCAUCACUACCAGAUGGACCUGCGUUGUAUUAGCUAGUUGGUGGGGUAACGGCUCACCAAGGCGACGAUACAUAGCCGACCUGAGAGGGUGAUCCGCCACACUGGGAAUGAGACACGGCCCAGACUCCUAAGGGAGGCAGCAGUAGGGAAUCUUCGGCAAUGGACGGAAGUCUGACCGAGCAACGCCGCGUGAGUGAAGAAGGUUUUCGGAUCGUAAAGCUCUGUUGUAAGAGAAGAACGAGUGUGAGAGUGGAAAGUUCACACUGUGACGGUAUCUUACCAGAAAGGGACGGCUAACUACGUG
RNAcentral lists this ribosomal RNA (497 nucleotides) under uncultured bacterium. RNAcentral describes it as "partial 16S ribosomal RNA". It matches the Rfam family "Bacterial small subunit ribosomal RNA", at positions 28 to 507 of the family's 1533-position model. The record is from RNAcentral.